ACGGAAGGCAGCAGUGGGGAAUAUUGCACAAUGGGGGAAACCCUGAUGCAGCGACGCCGCGUGAAGGAAGAAGUAUCUCGGUAUGUAAACUUCUAUCAGCAGGGAAGAAAAUGACGGUACCUGACUAAGAAGCCCCGGCUAACUACGUGCCAGCAGCCGCGGUAAUACGUAGGGGGCAAGCGUUAUCCGGAUUUACUGGGUGUAAAGGGAGCGUAGACGGAAUUGCAAGUCUGAUGUGAAAGGCAUGGGCUCAACCCGUGGACUGCAUUGGAAACUGUGAUUCUUGAGGGCCGGAGGGGUAAGCGGAAUUCCUGGUGUAGCGGUGAAAUGCGUAGAUAUCAGGAGGAACACCGGUGGCGAAGGCGGCUUACUGGACGGCAACUGACGUUGAGGCUCGAAGGCGUGGGGAGCAAACAGGAUUAGAUACCCUGGUA
RNAcentral lists this ribosomal RNA (434 nucleotides) under uncultured Blautia sp. RNAcentral describes it as "partial 16S ribosomal RNA". It matches the Rfam family "Bacterial small subunit ribosomal RNA", at positions 341 to 792 of the family's 1533-position model. Lineage: Bacteria; Bacillati; Bacillota; Clostridia; Lachnospirales; Lachnospiraceae. The record is from RNAcentral.